GAUGAACGCUGACAGAAUGCUUAACACAUGCAAGUCGAUGGGGAAGUGGUGCUUGCACCAUGGUAACCAUGGCGGACGGGUGAGUAACACGUAAGGAACUUACCUGCGGGACCGGGAUAACAGCAGGAAACUGCUGACAAGACCGGAUAAGGUCAUUAAGCUGCAUAGCUUAGUGAUGAAAGGAGACGCCUGCGGAGAGCCUUGCGUCCUAUUAGCUAGUUGGAAGGGUAACGGCCCACCAAGGCGAAGAUAGGUAGCCGGCCUGAGAGGGUGGACGGCCACAAGGGGAAUGAGAUACGGCCCUUACUCCUACGGGAGGCAGCAGUGGAGAAUAUUGGACAAUGGGGGCAACACUGAUCAAGCAAUUCUGUGUGCACGAAGACGGUUUUCGGAUUGUAAAGUGCUUUCAGCAGGGAAGAAGGAAGUGACGGUACCUGCAGAAGAAGCGACGGCUAAAUACGUG
This 463-nucleotide ribosomal RNA is filed under the name uncultured bacterium. Its description in RNAcentral is "partial 16S ribosomal RNA". It matches the Rfam family "Bacterial small subunit ribosomal RNA", at positions 28 to 507 of the family's 1533-position model. The record is from RNAcentral.